This 1261-nucleotide ribosomal RNA is filed under the name Dermestes tessellatocollis. RNAcentral describes it as "16S ribosomal RNA". The stretch from base 1022 to 1180 matches the Rfam family "Archaeal large subunit ribosomal RNA", at positions 2542 to 2701 of the family's 2987-position model. Lineage: Eukaryota; Metazoa; Arthropoda; Insecta; Coleoptera; Dermestidae. The record is from RNAcentral.
UUAAUAUAUAUUUUUUAUUAUUUUUAAAUAAAGUAUUUUUUUGUUUUAUUAAUUAUUAUUGAAGAAAUUUUUUUUAUUAUAGUUUAUUAGUACUGUGAAGGAAAUUUUUUAAUUAUUAAAAAGAAUAAUUUAAUUUUUGUACCUUUUGUAUCAGGGUUUAUUAAAAUAAUAUUAUAGAUAUAAUUUUCUCGAUUUUAAAGGAGCUAAUAAUUUAUAAAUUUUAUUGUUGAAUUAAUAUUUAAAAUUUAUUAUUUGAAAUGAAACGUUAUUCGUCUUUAAAUAUUUCUAGUUUCUAAAGAAAUGAAUUUAAUUCAGUUUCUUAAAGUAAAUAAUUAAUUUAAAUUAUUUUGUUUUAAGAAUAAAAAAUUUAAAGGGAUAAGCUUUUAAAUUUUUCUAUAAUAUUUUAUUAUUUGUUUUAGGUUGUAGGAUUGGAAUUUUUUAUCAAUAAAAGGAUGUUUUAAUUAACUUAAGUUAUUUUAAUAUUUAUAUUUUAUUUAGAUUAUUUAUUUAGAAUUUAUUUUUAAUUUUUUAAAAUAAGAAAUAAUGAUAAAAUUAGUAAUUUUAUUUGUUUAAUUAUAUUAAAAAUUUUAGAUUUUAUUAAGGAAUUCGACAAUUAAUUUUUUCGCCUGUUUAAUAAAAACAUGUCUUUUUGAUAAUGAUUUAAAGUCUAGUCUGCCCACUGUGAAUAUGAAGGGCCGCGGUAUUUUAACUGUGCAAAGGUAGCAUAAUAAUUAGUUUUUUUAUUGAAAACUGGAAUGAAUGGCUGGACGAGAGAAAUAGUGUCUCAAUAAAAAUUAAUGAAUUUUAUUUUUAAGUGAAAAAGCUUAAAUAAUUUUAAAAGACGAGAAGACCCUAUAGAGUUUAACAUAAAAUUUAUUAUAAUUAAUUGGAAUUUUUUUUUAUAAUAAUAAUUUUUGUUUAGCUGGGGUGGCUUUAAAAUUGAUUUAACUUUUAUUUUAUAAAACACUUAUUUGUGAUUAUUUGAUCCAUAUUUUUGAUUAAAAGAUUUAAUUACCUUAGGGAUAACAGCGUAAUCUUUCUUUAGAGCUCUAAUCAAUAGAAAGGAUUGCGACCUCGAUGUUGGAUUAAAAUUUAUUUUUGGUGCAGAAGCUAAAAUAUUAAGUCUGUUCGACUUUUGAAAUUUUACAUGAUCUGAGUUUAAACCGGUGUGAGCCAGGUUGGUUUCUAUCUUUAAAUAAAUUAAGUAUUUUAGUACGAAAGGACCAAAUAUUUAACUAAUAGUUUAAUUUUGAUUACUAUU